This 253-nucleotide ribosomal RNA is filed under the name uncultured prokaryote. RNAcentral describes it as "partial 16S ribosomal RNA". It matches the Rfam family "Bacterial small subunit ribosomal RNA", at positions 524 to 776 of the family's 1533-position model. The record is from RNAcentral.
GACGUAGGGGGCCAGCGUUGUUCGGAAUUACUGGGUGUAAAGGGUUCGUAGGCGGUGUGGCAAGUUGGGAGUGAAAUCUCUGGGCUCAACCCAGAGGCUGCUUCCAAAACUGCUGUGCUUGAGUGUGGGAGAGGCGCGUGGAAUUGCAGGUGUAGCGGUGAAAUGCGUAGAUAUCAGGAGGAACACCGGUGGUGUAGACGGCUUUCUGGACCGUAACUGACGCUGAGACACGAAAGCGUGGGUAGCAAACAGG